CCAGACUCCUACGGGAGGCAGCAGUCGAGAAUCAUUCACAAUGGGGGGAACCCUGAUGCAGCGACGCCGCGUGGGUGAAGAAGCGCCUCGGCGCGUAAAGCCCUGUCAGCAGGGAAGAAAAUGACGGUACCUGAAGAAGAAGCCCCGGCUAACUACGUGCCAGCAGCCGCGGUAAUACGUAGGGGGCAAGCGUUAUCCGGAUUUACUGGGUGUAAAGGGGGCGCAGACGGCGAUGCAAGCCAGGAGUGAAAGCCCGGGGCCCAACCCCGGGACUGCUCUUGGAACUGCGUGGCUGGAGUGCAGGAGGGGCAGGCGGAAUUCCUGGUGUAGCGGUGAAAUGCGUAGAUAUCAGGAGGAACACCGGCGGCGAAGGCGGCCUGCUGGACCGUGACUGACGUUGAGGCUCGAGAGCGUGGGGAGCAAACAGGAUUAGAUACCCGUGUAA
This 445-nucleotide ribosomal RNA is filed under the name uncultured bacterium. Its description in RNAcentral is "bacterial SSU rRNA". It matches the Rfam family "Bacterial small subunit ribosomal RNA", at positions 331 to 793 of the family's 1533-position model. The record is from RNAcentral.